Varroa destructor (honeybee mite) is the source of this 3738-nucleotide long non-coding RNA. NCBI's taxonomy places the organism in Eukaryota, Metazoa, Arthropoda, Arachnida, Mesostigmata, Varroidae. The record is from RefSeq and is a predicted model, not a curated record.
CUGACCAAAUGCUACGCACUUUCAGACCCGUCCUUGAAGCCGCUGAUCCAUGUAGUGACUGAUUCAUACGAAACGGAUUCAGAGGACAAAUGAGGAAGGCCGAAAACAUUUUGUUGGAGUAGGAACUGCAGACUGGGCAUGUGGAUAAGAAAUUUCUAUGCAAGAUGAGCUAACAGUUAUUGAGUGUGCUAUGUGCAGGGACUGCUGCUAGUCGGUAGAUGUGUAUAAUGCUUGCUUAUUUUGCAAUGAAAAUGAAUCUGUAUAAGUGGUCUUCUCCUAUCUUCCGUUUGUUCAAGGAGCUCCAAAGGAUUUAAUUAAUCUAGCCGACGACAACUGCUUUUAAGGUAUCGACGAUCAUUUGGAUACAGUUCUGCUCUAAGUGGACACUAAGUUCUGAUCAACAAUGAGGCUAUUUAGGUUUAUCGUGCAACCUAACGACAUAAAUGUCCUAGCUCUCAUAAUGCCCUGACUUUUCCAACGAAAUCCGUUUCCAGGUAUCUAUGUAAGUAAGAGUAUGAAAAAAGUAAGUUUCUCGUUCGGGCAGUUGUGCUUUUCGACGAUUAUUAUUCUGGCACCAGGUACCGAACACGGCUUAACUGGCCCGUAUUCUGUGUGCUGUCUAAAAGGAAUCCCAUCCAUCCAAUGAGUUGCUGAGGGGCUAAUUAUAGAAUAGGGUAGUUGGAACUUCCCGACUGCUGUAUUGGACCCUUUAGCAUUUGAGUUCAGUGAAGUUACAUUGAUUGCUACACCUUCUCGAAAUCGAUCUACUUAUGGAUGUAGUCAUUGAAAACGGGCAUGGUUAAACUUUAUUUUGUCAAGUUAAAUAGGUUUCCAUUGUGACAUGUCGAUUUAGUUAAUUGCUAGACAAGGGGGUCACAUGUUCGAGCCAAAGUAGGCAUCUGCGUCUGGGCUUGAACUGCCAGUUGCAAUGAAGGUUCAAGAUUUAAAUACUGUUUUGGUUAAUUGUGUUAAAGUAGUACGUUAUGAAGGACUAGGCGCCAAUACACGUACGUAGCAUAGCACUUUUCUCAGUAUCAACAAUUAUGAUCAGUAUAAACUAGCUCGAUUACGAUAUUCAUUGAGUGCCCACCGAAUCAAUGUCUGCAGUGACCGAACGUUUCUUUUGACACGAGACUAUCCACAAAGGACAACCAUACCGCUCCCCGUCAAAGAUUCGCGCAAACCUGUUACAUAUAUCAGUAAGUGCAGCUUUUCCGAUUACUGAAAUCCAUUUGUCCACUUUUUACUCUUUUUACUAGCAGUUGCAGUCGCAGUCGCAGUCAAGCUUGAGGAUAGGCUACAUGAGGCAAAUGCAUGCACACGACACUCAUACAAAAAGAUCAUGUAGCAACUUUUUCCUAACGUUAAUCAUUUGUAUGCUAACGUUUCCACAGGUGACCCUUUUACCCCCUUUCAGCUCAAACGAGAAACUCAUCCAACGCAUUACUAACGGUACAGUGAUGUGUGUACUCAUAGACUUGGUCACAGGUUGACAGACCUUUCCUGAGACGCGACUACGUCCGGAUUGCAUUUGGAACUUUUCGUCGGUACCAAUAUUAUAUCGGUAUACGACCACUGCGACAGAGCCGCUAAACGAGAAAACACAGUAUGGAAAUUUUCGCAUCAAAUAUUCGCUCGUCUGUUUUUUGUGUUUAUUAAUUCCUCCCAUAGAACCGUUCGACGCCGUUCGUAUAAGUGAUGGUAGCAGUCGGUCGUACAAUAGAGGCGCUUUGUCUGGUACGUGCUCGUGCGGUGUAUGGUGCCGCGCGAACUGGUACGACGGUUUUCUUACAUAGUUUUUUCUGAGAAAGUUUCCUCUUGUCGCAAUACCAUUCUGCAGCUCGCGCUGCACAAAGACAAAAAACAUCAGAAGCCAUUGCCUCUCUCUCUACCGAAAUGUUGCUAUGGUAGCAUUGAAAGAGCUGUUUUUGCGCCGUCUGCAUUGCGUGCUACAUGCUGAAGGUCACUUAGAUGGUGAGCUCGUUUUGUCUCAAAGUUGUGCUGAUUUUUUCGAUGGACGAGCGAGCGUACGGACGUGCGUAAGAAGCGUUAGAGAAGGGAGCCUUUAAAAAUUGUAGCACGAAAUGAAAGAAACGCAAAUGAAGGACAGAGAGGCCAGCGAAAACUGUCGAGCAAUUCACUCAGAGAAAAACUGCUACAUAUUAUUAAUAAAUAUUUGACAAUUUUCGAAUGUAAUUUAUGGUGAUAUCCAUAAAGUUUCAGUUUUAUUUGCUACUGUUUGAGAAUAUCAUAAAUGAGCACGACUUAAUAGCAACAAAAUCGUCUGAACUAGCCUCUCUGGCGGAUCGUGUAUUGCUUUCAGUAGGUUUUCACAUGGAAAUAGAAAACUAUGUUCAUUCAUUAUAGAAUCAGGUUAACAUUAAUAAUAUAUGAUCGUAUGUAAGACAGCAUAUAAGUUUACAGACGUGAUGUCAAAUUUAGGGUUACAAAAAAACAGCUUCCGAAGGAUUUUUAGCCGGAAGAGAAAGCGGUAUUGUUUUUAAAGGUCUCUACGCCAUCUGUGGUUGAUAGCGUCAGGUCGGAUCUACAAGGUCGGAAAAUAACUUCUCGGAUCAACUUUCGGUAAACUUUGACCCUGUCUAGAGCUGGGCGCUAGGACUCCCUAUGGACUGCAAAAUUGUUACUGUGUGCAAAUCCAUGCGGUGAGCCUAGCUCUGCCUUUUUUUGAUUGCUUUUUUCACUUUUUGAUUAUGGAAACUUUUGAUUGUGGAAAAAGAAGCAUGCCUUAAUUAUUAGCGUAGAGAGGCGCAUAAACCAGCUGCGAAAGCUAAGAUAUCGUCGUAGUCUUUCGCGUUGCUUUCUCUAUUUAUUUAACAUUUAAAGUUUGGAAAGGAUCGUUCAGUAUACAUUGGGUAUCGUUGAAAACUUGCUUACAAGAUGUGUCGCACAUCGACCGCUCUUAAUAGACCAAGACCUAUAAAUGCUCGUAGGAAAAGUGACUCUACGAUUGAUGAAACAUCUACACUAUUAGCAUUGACUAACUGUUACUAUGCGAUAUAUACAGUAACACGAUAGCAUAAAGUCUAGCUGGUAAAAAAAAAUGGCUUUUCAGUUUGACAGAUUUUGAAUACUAGAGACCUAAACCUGUGUUGUGUUCAUUGUAACUGCUACCGUAUGAUCCUAUUGGAUGUGUAGUUUGACCUGGCUCCAAUUAAAGAUGUCAUUUAUUCUAAGUUGCUGCGAAGAUUUUUUUAUUGUAGCUGCCUGUCCUCAAAUUUAUUUCUGCUCAGGUUUGAAGAUAACUACUGAAAAGGAGACUGCGGCAAACCUUCAGGAGCUGACGAAAACAGACUGUUUCAUAUACCCAGCGACUUGAUGUAUCAGCGAGUACGUUAGUCCUCUGGACGCUGAGUGUGUGAUCUGCCUCUGCCGGGUCGGUGUCCACGGUGUCAAACCGCGACAAAGGACUCGCGUCGUCCGAGUAUUCGGACCCGUUUACAGACCAAACGGAAAGAGUGAAACUAUCUUUUGAGUAUCAGGUCGUCCUUUAUGGAAGAGCGUGCUGAAAAAGCAUAACGAAAAAUAGCCCGUUGCUAUAGAAUAGCCAAGAAGCGUAAAUGAAGCCUGCUCACGCAAAAUGCAUAUAGAGGGCGUUGCUAUUAUGGGCGACAGAAAUAUCUUGUUGUAUUUAGAAUAACCGUUGUACAGGGAACAAUUGGGAGCUCUCAAAUUUAUAUCUUCAUUGUGAGGGAGAUAAAUUACGGUUAUAGCUUUUUU